This 74-nucleotide transfer RNA is filed under the name Marmota monax (woodchuck). RNAcentral's name for it is "tRNA.Ala". The record is from RNAcentral. Lineage: Eukaryota; Metazoa; Chordata; Mammalia; Rodentia; Sciuridae.
UGGGAAGAGAGCUCAGUUGGUAAAGUGUUUGCCUUGCAUGUACAAGGCCCUGGGUUCAGUUCCCAACACCACAA